Molecule: long non-coding RNA, 1151 nt
Filed under: Chloebia gouldiae (Gouldian finch)
Lineage: Eukaryota; Metazoa; Chordata; Aves; Passeriformes; Passeridae
Description: Erythrura gouldiae (Gouldian finch) lncRNA (ENSEGOG00005018705.1)
Source: RNAcentral
GUCCCGCAGGGAGCCCGGCACCCCUUCGCCCAGGCCGUGGGCAGGAACAUCGCCAACCCCACGGCCAUGCUGCUCUCGGCCUCCAACAUGCUGCGGCACCUCAACCUGGAGUACCACUCCAACAUGAUCUCGGACGCGGUGAAGAAGGUGAUCAAAGGUGGAAAAGUGAGUGUGGGGCAACGGGUAGGGCUGGCGGUGCCUGGGUCACGUUCUCUGGCUGCUCUCUUCUUCUCAGCUGGUUCCUCUGCUCUCUCCAGCUGGAAUUCUGGUUCCUCUCUUCUUCCCAGCUGGAAUUCUGGCUUCUCUCCUCUCUCCAGCUACAAUCCCAGGCCCACAGCUGUGUCCAGCUCCCGUGGUCAUGUCCUGGCAGGGGAGGGAAUUCUGGCAGGGCUGGGGGAUCCUCCAUGGCCUCGUCCCCGUUUGGGUUCUUGGCAGGGCUCUCGGGGAUGUUCUGUGUCCCCAUCCCCACCCCAGGUCCUGGCAGGGCUCUCGGGGGUGUCCCACNNNNNNNNNNCCCCACCCCAGGUCCUGGCAGGGCUCUCGGGGGUGUCCCACAGCCCCCGUGCAGGUCCUGGCAGGGUCCUGCUGUGUGUCCCUGCUGUCCUGCGUCCCUCCCGCAGCCGUUCCCGCGUUCACCUCGGCCUUUCCCCCGUUUCUCCCCCCUCUCUUGGAUUUGCAGGUCCGGACUCGGGACUUGGGCGGUUACUCCACCACUUCCGACUUCGUCAAGUCCGUCAUUGACAACCUGCACCCCAACUAUGGGGCUUAGGACCCCCGGCAGCCCCCCAGCGUCUGGCCCCCUCCCCAAAUCCCCCCAGCACCCCCUCCCCAGGGAGGAGGGUACCCCAGGAACCCUUCAGCUUUCCCCAUCCCCCGCAGGAGGCGGCCAGCGCUGAUUUUGGGGCUUUUUGGGGUGGUUUGGAGGGGAUGGGGCAGCACCCCAAACUCAUAGGCAGCUCCUAGGGACAUUGGGACCACCCACCAUGGCUCUGGGACCCCCAUUCCCACGGGAUCCCCAUUACUGGAUUGUCAUUCCUGGGAGAACGGGUCCUUGGACUGUGGGACCCCAUUCCUAUGGGAUCUUUACCAAUGUGGGACCCCUAUUCCCAUGGGGUUUUUGUUUAUUGUGACUUUUGGACCAGUGGGAUUUG